GCGAACGGGUGAGUAACACGUGAGCAACCUGCCCUGGACUCUGGGAUAAGCGCUGGAAACGGUGUCUAAUACUGGAUAUGAGCUCUCAUCGCAUGGUGGGGGUUGGAAAGAUUUUUCGGUCUGGGAUGGGCUCGCGGCCUAUCAGCUUGUUGGUGAGGUAAUGGCUCACCAAGGCGUCGACGGGUAGCCGGCCUGAGAGGGUGACCGGCCACACUGGGACUGAGACACGGCCCAGACUCCUACGGGAGGCAGCAGUGGGGAAUAUUGCACAAUGGGCGGAAGCCUGAUGCAGCAACGCCGCGUGAGGGAUGACGGCCUUCGGGUUGUAAACCUCUUUUAGCAGGGAAGAAGCGAGAGUGACGGUACCUGCAGAAAAAGCGCCGGCUAACUACGUGCCAGCAGCCGCGGUAAUACGUAGGGCGCAAGCGUUAUCCGGAAUUAUUGGGCGUAAAGAGCUCGUAGGCGGUUUGUCGCGUCUGCUGUGAAAUCCCGAGGCUCAACCUCGGGCCUGCAGUGGGUACGGGCAGACUAGAGUGCGGUAGGGGAGAUUGGAAUUCCUGGUGUAGCGGUGGAAUGCGCAGAUAUCAGGAGGAACACCGAUGGCGAAGGCAGAUCUCUGGGCCGUAACUGACGCUGAGGAGCGAAAGGGUGGGGAGCAAACAGGCUUAGAUACCCUGGUAGUCCACCCCGUAAACGUUGGGAACUAGUUG
This 710-nucleotide ribosomal RNA is filed under the name Microbacterium aurantiacum. RNAcentral describes it as "partial 16S ribosomal RNA". It matches the Rfam family "Bacterial small subunit ribosomal RNA", at positions 98 to 822 of the family's 1533-position model. The record is from RNAcentral. Lineage: Bacteria; Bacillati; Actinomycetota; Actinomycetes; Micrococcales; Microbacteriaceae.